Molecule: ribosomal RNA, 253 nt
Filed under: uncultured bacterium
Lineage: Bacteria
Description: partial 16S ribosomal RNA
Rfam family: Bacterial small subunit ribosomal RNA
Source: RNAcentral
UACGGGGGGGGCAAGCGUUGUUCGGAAUUACUGGGCGUAAAGGGUUCGUAGGUGGCCAACUAAGUCAUACGUGAAAUCCCCAGGCUUAACCUGGGAACUGCGUGUGAUACUGGAUGGCUUGAAUUCGGGAGAGGGAUGCAGAAUUCCAGGUGUAGCGGUGAAAUGCGUAGAUAUCUGGAGGAAUACCGGUGGCGAAGGCGGCAUCCUGGACCGACAUUGACGCUGAACGGCGAAAGCUAGGGGAGCAAACGGG